This 688-nucleotide long non-coding RNA is filed under the name Nicotiana benthamiana. Its description in RNAcentral is "long non-coding RNA (NBEN_LNC025124)". The record is from RNAcentral. Lineage: Eukaryota; Viridiplantae; Streptophyta; Magnoliopsida; Solanales; Solanaceae.
GAAGCUUUCUAUUCUUCUUUAGACAUAAAAAUUCAGUUCAAUCUACUCGUUAUAGGAGCUUGGGUUGCAAAAGUUCCAAUUAUCACUUGGUCUUGUUUCAUGCAGAAGCUAUAACGUCUGUGUUUGUUCAAUGUAAAUUUCUCACACGAGUUAUGUCAUGAUCAUCCAGGAUGAGAAAUGUUGAAGCUGCAGUUGAAGUAGGACUCAACGGUCUUCAAUUCAAGAAUGCAGAUUUGUUGCGCAAGGACUUGUCUCUCCUUGGUGUCAAUAUUUCAACAAAUGAAAAUCCAGAUUUGGCCGAAUGUUCGAUAUAGGAUAUAUGCCAAUUCAUCAAUUAUAUGUUUGGAUGAUUUUUAUUGACCUUUUGUCUUCAGGAAUCAGAAUUCUCAAAGCAACAGAUUUUAGCCCUGUAUUAUUACAGUCUCUACAUGAAAAACCACACAUUCUUUUCUCUAUGGAGUGAAAAGAGAGCAUUAUACUGUAACCAUAAUGUAUAACCACAGAUGCUUUCUGUCAAAAACUUACACACCCAUUCAGACCAAAUGAAAAACCACAUUCUUUUCUCUAUAUGAGUGAAAGGAGAGCAUUAUACUGUAGCCAUAAUGUAUAACCACAGAUGUUUUCUGUCAAUAAUUCACACCCAUUUAGACCAACCUAAUGAACACGUGACAUGUAUUUUUGAAGUUUA